RNAcentral lists this long non-coding RNA (243 nucleotides) under Mytilus galloprovincialis (Mediterranean mussel). The record is from RNAcentral. Lineage: Eukaryota; Metazoa; Mollusca; Bivalvia; Mytilida; Mytilidae.
GGUGUAUUAGUCUUUAUAUACCACGGGUAUGGUGGUGGAUGAAGAUUAUAUUGGUGUAAUAAUUAAUUAACGAUGUUGUGAUAUAGCCGCCAGUUUUAACUAUAGCCCUAUCUAUGAUCUAAUUUAAGAACAUAAGUUUCCCAUAUGAUUUAUUUAUAAAAGCCAUUUCCGGGAUAGUGAUGUACUUCCGGUACAAUAGUGUCUGCGGGUACCCUGGUGUAUGUAAGCUGACUGACAUUGGUG